This is a non-coding RNA of Cinara cedri, 318 nucleotides long. The record is from the annotation of a GenBank genome assembly. NCBI's taxonomy places the organism in Eukaryota, Metazoa, Arthropoda, Insecta, Hemiptera, Aphididae.
GUGGAUGGGUAAGACUUCGCUGCAGACGGUCGGGCACACAAACAAAAACGAUACAGUAUUAUAUUUAACGACGGUACGUACCGUACUAAAUACGAGUGUCUACUUAUUAAUAUGUUAUUAUUGCCGAAAACGGUGUGUGUCGUAAGUGUAACGAAUAUUGCGUAUAUCAGUAAGGUACCUAUAAUACUAUAGCGUACGCGGGGGCGGGGGUUGUUAACAAGCUCCAAACGAGGGGCGAGGUGCGAAAAUAGUUUGAAUAAUUUAUGUAAACAGAUCCCGCUCCCCUCUCUCGCCCCCCACCCGUUUUUAGAGACGCGA